RNAcentral lists this ribosomal RNA (114 nucleotides) under Periophthalmus magnuspinnatus. Lineage: Eukaryota; Metazoa; Chordata; Actinopteri; Gobiiformes; Gobiidae. The record is from RNAcentral.
GGUAGCAGCCAUAUCAUCUCGAGAAUGCCCGAUCUCGUUCGAUUUUGGGAAGCUAAGCAAAUUUAGGCCUGAUUAGUACUUGGAUAGGAGACAGUGUGGAAGAUCAGGUGUCCC